GGUUAAGCGAUUAAGCGUACACGGUGGAUGCCCUGGCAGUCAGAGGCGAUGAAGGGCGUGCUAAUCUGCGAUAAGCGCCGGUAAGGUGAUAUGAACCGUUAUAACCGGCGAUACCCGAAUGGGGAAACCCAGUGUGACUCGUCACACUAUCAUUAACUGAAUCCAUAGGUUAAUGAGGCGAACCGGGGGAACUGAAACAUCUAAGUACCCCGAGGAAAAGAAAUCAACCGAGAUUCCCCCAGUAGCGGCGAGCGAACGGGGAGGAGCCCAGAGCCUGAAUCAGCAUGUGUGUUAGUGGAAGCGUCUGGAAAGGCGCGCGGAUACAGGGUGAC
This 332-nucleotide ribosomal RNA is filed under the name Salmonella enterica subsp. enterica serovar Agona str. 400095 13. Its description in RNAcentral is "bacterial LSU rRNA". It matches the Rfam family "Bacterial large subunit ribosomal RNA", at positions 1 to 368 of the family's 2925-position model. Lineage: Bacteria; Pseudomonadati; Pseudomonadota; Gammaproteobacteria; Enterobacterales; Enterobacteriaceae. The record is from RNAcentral.